AUCCUUUUGUAGUUCAUGAGCGUGAUGAUUGGCUGUUCAUGCGGUUGUGUGACAUGUACCUCCCUCAAACCUUGUUAUGACACCAGCACAUUACCCAUCUGACA
This is a small nucleolar RNA of Hippopotamus amphibius kiboko, 104 nucleotides long. RefSeq annotates it as small nucleolar RNA U13. Lineage: Eukaryota; Metazoa; Chordata; Mammalia; Artiodactyla; Hippopotamidae. The transcript has a single exon. The record is from RefSeq and is a predicted model, not a curated record.